RNAcentral lists this ribosomal RNA (501 nucleotides) under uncultured organism. RNAcentral describes it as "bacterial SSU rRNA". It matches the Rfam family "Bacterial small subunit ribosomal RNA", at positions 27 to 502 of the family's 1533-position model. The record is from RNAcentral.
GAAUGAACGCUGGCGGCGUGCUUAACACAUGCAAGUCGAACGAGAAAGGGAUUGCUUGCAAUCCUGAGUAGAGUGGCGCACGGGUGAGUAACACGUAGAUAAUCUGCCUUCAAGUCCGGGAUAACCAAUCGAAAGGUUGGCUAAUACCGGAUGAAGUGUUUUUGCGCAGGUAAAAACAUGAAAGAUAGCCUCUUCUUGAAAGCUAUUGCUUGGGGAUGAGUCUGCGGACCAUUAGCUUGUUGGUGGGGUAACGGCCUACCAAGGCUGCGAUGGUUAGCUGGUCUGAGAGGAUGAUCAGCCACACUGGAACUGGAACACGGUCCAGACUCCUACGGGAGGCAGCAGUGAGGAAUUUUGCGCAAUGGGGGCAACCCUGACGCAGCAACGCCGCGUGAGUGAAGAAGGCCUUUGGGUCGUAAAGCUCUGUCAACUGGGACGAAAUUGUCUGAUAUUAAUAGUGUCAGUCAUUGACGGUACCAGUGGAGGAAGCGCCGGCUAACU